GGUUGAUCCUGCCAGUAGUGAUAUGCUUGUUUCAAAGAUUAAGCCAUGCAUGUCUAAGUAUAAGCGAACUUAUACAGUGAAACUGCGGAUGGCUCAUUAAAACAGUUUGAAUUUAUUUGAUGGAUGUACGCGAGUACUACAUGGAUAUCCGUAGUAAUUCUAGAGCUAAUACAUGCAGGAACGCCCGACCCUCGCGGAAGGGCUGUAUUUAUUGGAUACAAAAACCAAACCUGGCAACAGGUUUCGUUUGUUGAUUCACAAUAACUGAUCGGACCGUUGCCUCGGCAGCGGC
RNAcentral lists this ribosomal RNA (292 nucleotides) under uncultured eukaryote. RNAcentral's name for it is "partial 18S ribosomal RNA". It matches the Rfam family "Eukaryotic small subunit ribosomal RNA", at positions 6 to 291 of the family's 1831-position model. The record is from RNAcentral.